RNAcentral lists this ribosomal RNA (165 nucleotides) under Oxalis trilliifolia. RNAcentral describes it as "5.8S rRNA". It matches the Rfam family "5.8S ribosomal RNA". From Rfam's summary of the family: 5.8S ribosomal RNA (5.8S rRNA) is a component of the large subunit of the eukaryotic ribosome. The record is from RNAcentral. Lineage: Eukaryota; Viridiplantae; Streptophyta; Magnoliopsida; Oxalidales; Oxalidaceae.
UAAAUGACUCUCGGCAACGGAUAUCUCGGCUCUCGCAUCGAUGAAGAACGUAGCGAAAUGCGAUACUUGGUGUGAAUUGCAGAAUCCCGUGAACCAUCGAGUCUUUGAACGCAAGUUGCGCCCCAAGCCUUUAGGUCGAGGGCACGCCUGCCUGGGUGUCACACA